GACGAACGCUGGCGGCGUGCCUAAUACAUGCAAGUAGAACGCUGAAGAGAGGAGCUUGCUCUUCUUGGAUGAGUUGCGAACGGGUGAGUAACGCGUAGGUAACCUGCCUUGUAGCGGGGGAUAACUAUUGGAAACGAUAGCUAAUACCGCAUAACAAUAGGUGACACAUGUCAUUUAUUUGAAAGGGGCAAUUGCUCCACUACAAGAUGGACCUGCGUUGUAUUAGCUAGUAGGGGAGGUAACGGCUCACCUAGGCGACGAUACAUAGCCGACCUGAGAGGGUGAUCGGCCACACUGGGACUGAGACACGGCCCAGACUCCUACGGGAGGCAGCAGUAGGGAAUCUUCGGCAAUGGGGGCAACCCUGACCGAGCAACGCCGCGUGAGUGAAGAAGGGUUUCGGAUCGUAAAGCUCUGUUGUAAGUCAAGAACGAGUGUGAGAGUGGAAAGUUCACACUGUGACGGUAGCUUACCAGAAAGGGACGGCUAACUACGUG
This 497-nucleotide ribosomal RNA is filed under the name uncultured bacterium. RNAcentral's name for it is "partial 16S ribosomal RNA". It matches the Rfam family "Bacterial small subunit ribosomal RNA", at positions 28 to 507 of the family's 1533-position model. The record is from RNAcentral.